GAUGAAGAACGCAGCGAAAUGCGAUAAGUAGUGUGAAUUGCAGACUUUAGUGAAUCAUCGAAUCUUUGAACGCACAUUGCGCCCGUCAGUAUUCUGGCGGGCAUGCCUGUUCGAGCGUCAUUACGCCCCUCAAGUCCCCUGUGGACUUGGUGUUGGGGAUCGGCGAGGCUGGUUUUCCAGCACAGCCGUCCCUUAAAUUAAUUGGCGGUCUCGCCGUGGCCCUCCUCUGCGCAGUAGUAAAACACUCGCAACAGGAGCCCGGCGCGGUCCACUGCCGUAAAACCCCCCAACUUUUUAUAGUUGACCUCGAAUCAGGUAGGACUACCCGCUGAACUUAAGCAUAUCAAUAAGCGGAGGA
Molecule: unclassified non-coding RNA, 358 nt
Filed under: soil metagenome
Description: partial contains 5.8S ribosomal RNA, internal transcribed spacer 2, and large subunit ribosomal RNA
Rfam family: 5.8S ribosomal RNA (bases 1-120)
Source: RNAcentral